This 372-nucleotide ribosomal RNA is filed under the name uncultured bacterium. Its description in RNAcentral is "bacterial SSU rRNA". It matches the Rfam family "Bacterial small subunit ribosomal RNA", at positions 30 to 418 of the family's 1533-position model. The record is from RNAcentral.
UGAACGCUAGCGGCAGGCUUAAUACAUGCAAGUCGAACGAACAGCAAUGUUAGUGGCGCACGGGUGCGUAACGCGUAUGCAACUUGCCUUUAACUGGGGGAUAACGUUUCGAAAGAGGCGCUAAUACCGCAUAACACAGUGAUAACACAUGUUUUUAUUGUUAAAGCUCCGGCGGUUAAAGAUGGGCAUGCGUAGGAUUAGCUAGUUGGUAAGGUAAUGGCUUACCAAGGCGACGAUCCUUAGGGGUUCUGAGAGGAAGGUCCCCCACACUGGUACUGAGACACGGACCAGACUCCUACGGGAGGCAGCAGUGAGGAAUAUUGGACAUGGCGCAGCCUGAUCCAGCACUGCCGCGUGCAGGAAGAACGCAUC